RNAcentral lists this ribosomal RNA (352 nucleotides) under Candidatus Rhizobium massiliense. RNAcentral describes it as "bacterial SSU rRNA". It matches the Rfam family "Bacterial small subunit ribosomal RNA", at positions 219 to 589 of the family's 1533-position model. Lineage: Bacteria; Pseudomonadati; Pseudomonadota; Alphaproteobacteria; Hyphomicrobiales; Rhizobiaceae. The record is from RNAcentral.
GGAAGGAUUGGCCCGCGUUGGAUUAGCUAGUUGGUGGGGUAAAGGCCUACCAAGGCGACGAUCCAUAGCUGGUCUGAGAGGAUGAUCAGCCACAUUGGGACUGAGACACGGCCCAAACUCCUACGGGAGGCAGCAGUGGGGAAUAUUGGACAAUGGGCGCAAGCCUGAUCCAGCCAUGCCGCGUGAGUGAUGAAGGCCUUAGGGUUGUAAAGCUCUUUCACCGAUGAAGAUAAUGACGGUAGUCGGAGAAGAAGCCCCGGCUAACUUCGUGCCAGCAGCCGCGGUAAUACGAAGGGGCUAGCGUUGUUCGGAAUUACUGGGCGUAAAGCGCACGUAGGCGGAUAUUUAAGUC